RNAcentral lists this long non-coding RNA (1671 nucleotides) under Gallus gallus (chicken). The record is from RNAcentral. Lineage: Eukaryota; Metazoa; Chordata; Aves; Galliformes; Phasianidae.
CGCGGGCGAGGCGGCGGCGGCGGUGGGGUCGCGUUAGGCGGGUGUCGCGUACGGCCGAUAGCUGCCGCCGCCUCAGAGGGCGGGCUGAACCGCGCUCCCGCCUCGGUGAUGUGCCGGUGCUGUUACCAGGCAUCGAGGGGGAAAAACAAAACAAAGCAAACAAAAUAAUAGCACAAAAGCUCUUCACCUCAGGAUCAGCCCUAAGCGCUGCUCGGCUCCCCUUUAUCCUUGUUGCAUGGAGCAGCCACGCUUUACGCAGCCAGGCACCACCUGCGGCUGCAGAGGUCCUCCGGUGAUUCCCUGUGAAGUUCUCCCCUCAGUGCUUAGGUGGGGUUUUCUUUCCUGCUAGCUCAAAGUCUGAAAUGUUUUGCCGUUCUAUAGGCAACUAAGCUGUGGUGUAAUGCCAAGCACGAGCUCAGAAACCCAGCCCUUCACAGGGAAGACAUUGUUCAUAUUCACUAGAAUAGAUGUGACUUACUGCCGCUUGUAUGGUGAAUUAGGGGCUGGGCUGGCAUUAGUGAUGCUCCAACUUUGGUGAAACCAAUCUCAGUGAAACGAUCUUGUGAGGAACUCAGAAGUUUCAACUUUGAAUUAAGAGAUUAACGCUACCACCACAGUCCAAGCAAUACUAUGGAUACAUUGGGAACUGAGGGCCUGCAAAGACGAGUUCUGUUUCAGGCCUGCUGCCAGAAGGAGCUCUGUGAAAGGCUGGAAUGUCUGCGAGGAAUGGCACGUUACAGCAGCGGCGGUGCAUCUGUUGUGCAUGGCAGCUGCUGUGCAGCACUGGGCUCUCUGCAUCCUCUUGGUAUUUACAGACAACUGCUUUGAAUGUUAUGUUUUGUGUGGACACCUGUAAAAUACACUGCACAGGUUCUUGUUGGAGUUGCCCUGUGUGUUUCAGAUGCUCGUUUUAAAGGAAUAUAGUUAUAGAAGUGUAUUAAAACAUCGCUGAGUUCUUGAAGUCUUGACUAAACACUGAGGACUACCACAGAAAGAAGCAUUAAGACUUUCUCAUCACACAGAGGUUUACUAUUGCGAUGAAUUAUUAAGAACUAUGAAGGUGAUGAAGUCUGGAACACUGAAGUGUGUUUAAGUCCCUGUUGGAGCAUGUAAAUAAAAAUGGAUGGGUUAAUUCCAUUCAUCACUGAAAGAUGAUGAAAAUUGCAGGCCUUCUUUUUGAAUUAGGAUAUUUCUUCUAAGGAAAUGGAAGUCAGCAAACAGAUUUUCACUACAGUAGAGAAAGCAAUGAAAAAGUAUUUGGAAAGUAGUUCCAGCUGACCGCUCUGAUAAGACUAAGUUACGUGACAUAUCUGAUGUGGAAGAAGAAAUUGUACAGCAAUAGGAAGUUGUUAUCUCCAUAUCUCAAAUGCUAACACAGCUCCCCCAGUCAACUGUGAGAUAGAUCUACUCUUGUUAUGACAGCUGCUGGAAACUGAUGUCAGUAUAUCUGUACAGUGUCUUUUGAUAGUCUUAACUGUUACAAAUCUUAAAGUAUGUUUAUGAUGUUAUCUAAGACACGCUGUUUGAAAAUGGCUCUAUUUAUAAUCAGAAAUUGCUCGUGCUUUUUUAAUAAAUAAAUUAUAGGCUAGUCUGAUUUGCUUGAACUUUUUCUUUCUGAAGCCUUAAGCCAGAGGAUUAAUUAAUGUUUAUACAGCACUUUGUAAACACAGG